This is a non-coding RNA of Caerostris darwini, 108 nucleotides long. Lineage: Eukaryota; Metazoa; Arthropoda; Arachnida; Araneae; Araneidae. The record is from the annotation of a GenBank genome assembly.
AACGGCCGUACCAUGCUGAAUAUACCGGUUCUAGUUAGAUCACCGAAGUCAAGCAUCAUUGGGUGCGUUUAGUACUUGGGUGGGUGACCACCUUAAACCGCGUGCCGU